Molecule: ribosomal RNA, 200 nt
Filed under: uncultured bacterium
Lineage: Bacteria
Description: partial 16S ribosomal RNA
Rfam family: Bacterial small subunit ribosomal RNA
Source: RNAcentral
AGAGUUUGAUCCUGGCUCAGAGUGAACGCUGGCGGCGUGCUUAACACAUGCAAGUCGAACGAGUAAGUGCUGUAGCAAUACAGAUUACUGCUAGUGGCAGACGGGUGAGUAAUACAUGGGAAUCUGCCUUGGAGUUUGGGAUAACUGUUGGAAACGACAGCUAAUACCGAAUAUUGCCGAGAGGUAAAAGAUUUAUCGCU